Molecule: ribosomal RNA, 974 nt
Filed under: uncultured bacterium
Lineage: Bacteria
Description: bacterial SSU rRNA
Rfam family: Bacterial small subunit ribosomal RNA
Source: RNAcentral
CAGCAGCCGCGGUAAUACGGGAGUGGCAAGCGUUAUCCGGAAUUAUUGGGCGUAAAGCGUCCGCAGGCGGCCCUUCAAGUCUGCUGUUAAAACGUGGAGCUUAACUCCAUCAUGGCAGUGGAAACUGUUGGGCUUGAGUGUGGUAGGGGCAGAGGGAAUUCCCGGUGUAGCGGUGAAAUGCGUAGAUAUCGGGAAGAACACCAGUGGCGAAGGCGCUCUGCUGGGCCAUAACUGACGCUCAUGGACGAAAGCCAGGGGAGCGAAAGGGAUUAGAUACCCCUGUAGUCCUGGCCGUAAACGAUGAACACUAGGUGUCGGGGGAAUCGACCCCCUCGGUGUCGUAGCCAACGCGUUAAGUGUUCCGCCUGGGGAGUACGCACGCAAGUGUGAAACUCAAAGGAAUUGACGGGGGCCCGCACAAGCGGUGGAGUAUGUGGUUUAAUUCGAUGCAACGCGAAGAACCUUACCAGGGUUUGACAUCCUGCGAACCUCUUGGAAACGAGAGGGUGCCUUCGGGAGCGCAGUGACAGGUGGUGCAUGGCUGUCGUCAGCUCGUGUCGUGAGAUGUUGGGUUAAGUCCCGCAACGAGCGCAACCCACGUCUUUAGUUGCCAGCAUUUAGUUGGGCACUCUAGAGAGACCGCCGGUGAUAAACCGGAGGAAGGUGUGGAUGACGUCAAGUCAUCAUGCCCCUUACAUCCUGGGCUACACACGUACUACAAUGCUACGGACAAAGAGCAGCAAGUUCGCGAGGACAAGCAAAUCUCAUAAACCGUGGCUUAGUUCAGAUCGUAGGCUGCAACUCGCCUACGUGAAGGAGGAAUCGCUAGUAAUCGCAGGUCAGCAUACUGCGGUGAAUACGUUCCCGGGCCUUGUACACACCGCCCGUCACACCAUGGAAGUUGGCCACGCCCGAAGCCGUUACUCCAACCCUUGUGGAGGAGGACGUCGAAGGUGGGGCUGAUGACUGGGGUG